Molecule: ribosomal RNA, 369 nt
Filed under: uncultured bacterium
Lineage: Bacteria
Description: bacterial SSU rRNA
Rfam family: Bacterial small subunit ribosomal RNA
Source: RNAcentral
ACGGAGGAUGCAAGCGUUAUCCGGAUUCAUUGGGUUUAAAGGGUGCGCAGGCGGAAUGAUAAGUCAGUGGUGAAAUCUCCCGGCUCAACCGGGAAACUGCCAUUGAUACUGCCAUUCUUGAGUACAGUUGAAGUGGGCGGAAUGUGUCAUGUAGCGGUGAAAUGCUUAGAUAUGACACAGAACACCGAUAGCGAAGGCAGCUCACUAAGCUGUAACUGACGCUCAUGCACGAAAGCGUGGGGAUCAAACAGGAUUAGAUACCCUGGUAGUCCACGCUGUAAACGAUGAUCACUCGUUGUUAGCGAUAUACUGUUAGCGACUGAGGGAAACCAUUAAGUGAUCCACCUGGGGAGUACGGCGGCAACGUUG